UACGUAGGGCGCAAGCGUUGUCCGGAAUUAUUGGGCGUAAAGAGCUCGUAGGCGGUCUGUCACGUCUGCCGUGAAAACCCGAGGCUUAACCUCGUGGCUUGCGGUGCAUACGGGCAGACUAGAGGUAGGUAGGGGAGAAUGGAAUUCCCGGUGUAGCGGUGAAAUGCGCAGAUAUCGGGAGGAACACCCGUGGCGAAGGCGGUUCUCUGGGACGGUACUGACGCUGAGACGCGAAAGCGUGGGGAGCGAACAGG
This 254-nucleotide ribosomal RNA is filed under the name uncultured bacterium. Its description in RNAcentral is "partial 16S ribosomal RNA". It matches the Rfam family "Bacterial small subunit ribosomal RNA", at positions 524 to 776 of the family's 1533-position model. The record is from RNAcentral.